This 499-nucleotide ribosomal RNA is filed under the name Escherichia coli. RNAcentral's name for it is "partial 23S ribosomal RNA". It matches the Rfam family "Bacterial large subunit ribosomal RNA", at positions 697 to 1194 of the family's 2925-position model. Lineage: Bacteria; Pseudomonadati; Pseudomonadota; Gammaproteobacteria; Enterobacterales; Enterobacteriaceae. The record is from RNAcentral.
AAGUUGCAGGGUAUAGACCCGAAACCCGGUGAUCUAGCCAUGGGCAGGUUGAAGGUUGGGUAACACUAACUGGAGGACCGAACCGACUAAUGUUGAAAAAUUAGCGGAUGACUUGUGGCUGGGGGUGAAAGGCCAAUCAAACCGGGAGAUAGCUGGUUCUCCCCGAAAGCUAUUUAGGUAGCGCCUCGUGAAUUCAUCUCCGGGGGUAGAGCACUGUUUCGGCAAGGGGGUCAUCCCGACUUACCAACCCGAUGCAAACUGCGAAUACCGGAGAAUGUUAUCACGGGAGACACACGGCGGGUGCUAACGUCCGUCGUGAAGAGGGAAACAACCCAGACCGCCAGCUAAGGUCCCAAAGUCAUGGUUAAGUGGGAAACGAUGUGGGAAGGCCCAGACAGCCAGGAUGUUGGCUUAGAAGCAGCCAUCAUUUAAAGAAAGCGUAAUAGCUCACUGGUCGAGUCGGCCUGCGCGGAAGAUGUAACGGGGCUAAACCAUGCAC